This 270-nucleotide ribosomal RNA is filed under the name uncultured archaeon. RNAcentral describes it as "partial 16S ribosomal RNA". It matches the Rfam family "Archaeal small subunit ribosomal RNA", at positions 477 to 747 of the family's 1478-position model. The record is from RNAcentral.
CAGCUCUCCGAGUGGUAGGGAUGAUUAUUGGGCUUAAAGCGUCCGUAGCCGGCUUAGCAAGUCUCCUGUUAAAUUCAGCGACCUAAUCGUUGAGCCGCGGGAGAUACUACUAGGCUAGGAGGCGGGAGAGGUCGACGGUACUUCCGGGGUAGGGGUGAAAUCCUAUAAUCCCGGGAGGACCACCAGUGGCGAAGGCUGUCGACUAGAACGCGCUCGACGGUGAGGGACGAAAGCUGGGGGAGCGAACCGGAUUAGAUACCCGAGUAGUCC